RNAcentral lists this ribosomal RNA (253 nucleotides) under uncultured bacterium. RNAcentral describes it as "partial 16S ribosomal RNA". It matches the Rfam family "Bacterial small subunit ribosomal RNA", at positions 524 to 776 of the family's 1533-position model. The record is from RNAcentral.
UACGUAGGGGGCAAGCGUUGUCCGGAAUUAUUGGGCGUAAAGAGCGUGUAGGCGGUCCGGUAAGUCAGCUGUGAAAGUCAAGGGCUCAACCCUUGAAUGCCGGUUGAUACUGUCGGGCUAGAGUCCGGAAGAGGCGAGUGGAAUUCCCGGUGUAGCGGUGAAAUGCGCAGAUAUCGGGAGGAACACCAAUGGCGAAGGCAGCUCGCUGGGACGGUACUGACGCUGAGGCGCGAAAGCCAGGGGAGCAAACGGG